RNAcentral lists this non-coding RNA (24 nucleotides) under Arabidopsis thaliana (thale cress). The record is from RNAcentral. Lineage: Eukaryota; Viridiplantae; Streptophyta; Magnoliopsida; Brassicales; Brassicaceae.
UGCAAUCUUCAGGCCAGCUCGAGC